RNAcentral lists this ribosomal RNA (774 nucleotides) under uncultured Neocallimastigales. Its description in RNAcentral is "partial large subunit ribosomal RNA". It matches the Rfam family "Eukaryotic large subunit ribosomal RNA", at positions 20 to 614 of the family's 3401-position model. Lineage: Eukaryota; Fungi; Neocallimastigomycota; Neocallimastigomycetes; Neocallimastigales. The record is from RNAcentral.
UACUAGAGUAGCACUCGCAUAUCAAUAAGCGGAGGAAAAGAAACUAACAAGGAUUCCCCUAGUAUCGGCGAGUGAAGCGGGAAGAGCUCAAAUUUGAAAUCUUAAAGGGUUUCCCUUUACGAAUUGUAGUUUAAAGAAGUGUUUUCUGUUGAGGUUUUGGUAAAAGUUCUUUGGAAUAGGACAUCAUAGAGGGUGAGAAUCCCGUAUUUGACCUUUACUUUCAACUUUGUGAUACACUUUCAAAGAGUCGGAUUGUUUGGGAAUGCAGUCCAAAAUGGGUGGUAAAUUUCAUCUAAAGCUAAAUAUUGGCGAGAGACCGAUAGCGAACAAGUACCGUGAGGGAAAGAUGAAAAGAACUUUGAAAAGAGAGUUAAACAGUACGUGAAAUUGUCAAAAGGGGAGCGUUUGACACCAGUGUUGUUUUUCUGAAAAUCAAUUAAAGAACUGUUUAUGCUAAGCUGUUUAGACUUUAUCAGCUAUCUGUUUAGUUUUGAGCUUUUCUUUAAUGCACUUUUCAGUUAACAAGUCAACAUCAAUUUCUUUUGCUGUAAAAAAGCUUGAGGAAGGUGGCUUGAGAUUCGUCUUAAGUGUUUAUAGCCUCUUGCCUAUGCAGUCGGAGAGAUUGAGGUCUGCAGCGUAGAUCCUUCGGGGCUAAAUGCAUUUGUGCUAAGUUAUAGCAUUUUAUAGACAACUUGUUGACUAUGAUUUGUCUUGUAGCUUACUCGCUUAUGUUAUUUUACCUACGCUUAGGAUGUUGAGUCAUCACACAUCUCU